CUCGCAAGUCUAUAGCAAUUUG
Molecule: small nuclear RNA, 22 nt
Filed under: Arabidopsis thaliana (thale cress)
Lineage: Eukaryota; Viridiplantae; Streptophyta; Magnoliopsida; Brassicales; Brassicaceae
Description: snRNA_07947
Source: RNAcentral